AAAGCAUGCAACUUUUUUUUUCCAAAGUUUACUCAGGUUUUCUUGUGCCAUUCUUAGGAUGUGAACAAUGUAAAGCUGAAUUUUUGACUGGUGAAAGCAGCAGCCAGGAGGGAGGGCAGACAUAGCGAGUCAUGCACCGAGCACGGGGUUUGCACCAUCACCUUCUGCUUUGCACAUGUGCUGCGGCCCAGCCCAUCUCACACGGGCGCAUUGCAGCGCCACAGGCUCACUCCAGUUUCACCUAUGGCUGCACAACACGGAGAGCUGCUGAUUAUCUGUGAUCAUCAAACCGUUUGUGUUGGAGGCACAGACCUCAGAGAGGGACCUCGUGUUCAGAUGAGCUGCUCUAGGGGGCAAAACCCUUUAGGUUCAAACUCCUCAUGUGGUCUGAAACCACGUUAACUUGUGGGCAGAGAUCUAGCUGGCUGACUGGGGAUGCUGGAGGCAAGUAAAGACCUUGUUGUGGGACCUGGCCUUCACCAGCAGGUUCUCUUCCUGAGGAGCACCAAGCUGCUUUCUCUCUGUCCCUACCAGCAGAGAUUACACCCUCAGGAUUUGGUGACUGUGCUCGUCUCAUUCUACAGGGCUACACAGCAGGAGAAGGUCACUUCCAGAGAGAAAAAUACGCAGCAUACUAAAGGGGAUCUUGGUUUCCACAACAGCCUUGUGCAUCCAUCGAGCCCUGAAGAUCAUUCUCAGUUGCAUUUAAUCCUCAAAUGCAGUGGUAUUUUCAAAGGAAUCGAGAGCCACCUUGUGGAGCCAGGAUUCAUGAAGGGGCUCCAAAUACUCCUGCUGGGAACAGCUGCUCCUGGAAAGGAAUUCAAAUCCCACAGGAUGCUGGAGGUUGCCAAUUAAGUUCAGGACUCAAAGCUGGACUUCCCAAGUUGCUUCUGCCAAAAGGAAAAUGCAGUGGGGUUCAGGGGAAUCUGGGAGAACCGGUAGGAUCACCUGCCCCAGGAUGCAGAGCUCUUCAGCACUGACAGGCAUGUUCAAGGUGACUAGACACGGUCCUGGAAAAGUACUGCUGCAUGGAGAAAACACCCAUGGCUGAGAAGAAGUGGUGACAGCCACCAGUGUCCCAGUGCUGGGGAACUCUGCACACUUGUGCUCUUCUAACUCCACUGCACUUUGUUUGGUUCCAUCAACAUUUACUCAUCAUUAUCUGGGUGAUUCUUACUCUAAUAUUGCAUGUAGCUGCUAAUAUGACAUGUUAAUAUGGCAUCCAGCAGCCCUAGCAGUGAUGACACACGAUAUUAUGCAGCACCAAUUAGCACCACACAAUUAAAACCACGGGCUAUUCUCACCCAGCAUCAGCCCCCUUGAGGCACCCGUUGGACCUCCCCAUCCUUCUGCAUUACCCACCAAUGCGCCCAGGUCCCUGAGCAAAUGCAGCCCCACGGAUGGGUUUGCCUUUGCCCGAGGCAGGAAUAGCCAAGGCUGCCUUCUCCAGCAGGUUAUUUAUGUGUGCUGCAGGGACAGGGAUCAUUCUGGAUCCUCUCAGCUAUAAAAAUUAGGAAGCUUUCUAUUCCGAGGCGUAAGUGUUGUUUAACUGCUGUAUUGCACAGAGGCUCACAUCAUUAUGUUGUCUUCUUUGCUUUAGUGCCAAAUUAGAAAUAAGUAAAUAUGGCCAAACAAACACAACACCGGCUAUGGGAAGUUUUGUGAUGAAAUUCUGGAAGCAAGAGGUUGAGAGAGAUCAGAGGACAGGCUUAAAAAAAAAAAAAAAGAAAGAAAAAGGAAAAAAAA
Molecule: non-coding RNA, 1746 nt
Organism: Anas platyrhynchos (mallard)
Lineage: Eukaryota; Metazoa; Chordata; Aves; Anseriformes; Anatidae
Source: RefSeq, a predicted model, not a curated record